RNAcentral lists this unclassified non-coding RNA (424 nucleotides) under uncultured Mortierella. RNAcentral's name for it is "sequence contains ITS1". The stretch from base 1 to 104 matches the Rfam family "5.8S ribosomal RNA", at positions 50 to 154 of the family's 154-position model. Lineage: Eukaryota; Fungi; Mortierellomycota; Mortierellomycetes; Mortierellales; Mortierellaceae. The record is from RNAcentral.
GAAAUGCGAUACGUAAUGUGAAUUGCAGAAUUCGUGAAUCAUCGAAACUUUGAACGCAAAUUGCGCUCUCGAUUCACGUCGGGAGCAUGCCUGCUUGAGUGUCAGUAACCUCACCUCACACGCGCGCACGCAAGUGCCCGUAUGUAUGUAUGUCUGUGAGCGUGUGUGUGUGUGUGUGGUGCAGGCGCGUCGUCCACGUUCGUGUAAUGUACGUCAUCAGACGUUUUCCUCACGAGCGCGGUCGCGCACAUGCCGAGGUCGCCGCACGUUCACAUGAGAGUGAAGCUCCACCAGGGCCGCCUGGUGAACGUUUGUAUAUGUGUUGUUGUAUGUGGCUUUGUCACACAAAGACACGCACACACACACACACAUCGCGCACUCAACCUUUGACCUCAAGUCAGGUAGGAGGACCCGCUGAAUUUAA